Non-coding RNA from Elaeis guineensis (African oil palm), 799 nucleotides. Lineage: Eukaryota; Viridiplantae; Streptophyta; Magnoliopsida; Arecales; Arecaceae. The record is from RefSeq and is a predicted model, not a curated record.
UCAUCCUUAUCAUUAUUAUUAAUAUGAAAAAAAGAACUGAGUCCCCAAUCCCAACUGGGGAAGGAUUCAACUCGUGAAACGCCUGAGCAUCUGAACAUCUGCAAUGAACGGGUACUGGAGUCGUCCCUAGAAAACAGAGGCGCUCUUCUUGGUGUUUUUUUAAGGGAAUAAGGCGGAGGUGGGACACUUUCCCCAGUCAAUUGAAUUAAAGAAAGAAGGAACACGAUUUCAGAGGAUAGUGGGCGAACGAGUUAGGAUAUGGAAACUGAUCAGAAACCACAAACUCUAUAUCGCUGCAAAAGAUGCCGCAGGAUUGUUGCUGCUCAAGAGAAUGUGAUUCUUCAUAAACAGGGAGAGGGUGAACGAUGCUUCAAAUGGAAGAAAAGAGAUGCCCCGCUGGACAGUGACAAUAAACCUGAAUGUUCCUCAAUAUUCGUGGAGCCUAUGAAGUGGAUGCAAGCAGUGCAAGAGGGGUACGUUGAAGAGAAACUUUGGUGCUUGGGCUGCAAGGCCCGUUUGGGUUCAUUCAACUGGGCAGGCAUGCAAUGCAGCUGUGGUGCUUGGGUGAAUCCAGCAUUUCAGCUGCAUAAGAGUCGGGUUGAUGAGUGCACUACAUAAAAUGUCUGUAGGCAUGACCAUGUAUAGCUAGUUGGAAACCUGAGCAUUGAGAAUUCAGUGAAAUUUUGCUGGCCGGUAAUGGUGCUAUCAGAAGAAAUGUUACAUUAAUGGCUUGAACCCAGCAUUAUGAUUUUAUGUAUCUAGUGAUUUCUUUAAAAAAAAUAUUUGCGUGUUUUGUGUA